Janthinobacterium sp. KBS0711 is the source of this 125-nucleotide regulatory RNA element. It matches the Rfam family "ZMP/ZTP riboswitch aptamer (pfl RNA motif)". Rfam says of the family: Previously known as pfl RNA. ZMP is also known as AICAR. Lineage: Bacteria; Pseudomonadati; Pseudomonadota; Betaproteobacteria; Burkholderiales; Oxalobacteraceae. The record is from Rfam.
UACGUCUCACGUGACUGGCGAAAAGUCGGGCGAUCUCCAUGAGUGGCGAUCGGCAAACCGGCGAAAGGUGGGCACCCACCGGGAAACGUGAGAUUUUUCAUCAGCCGUUCGCCUGGGUAGCCACU